This 460-nucleotide ribosomal RNA is filed under the name uncultured bacterium. Its description in RNAcentral is "partial 16S ribosomal RNA". It matches the Rfam family "Bacterial small subunit ribosomal RNA", at positions 338 to 795 of the family's 1533-position model. The record is from RNAcentral.
CCUACGGGUGGCAGCAGUGGGGAAUAUUGGGCAAUGGGCGCAAGCCUGACCCAGCCAAGUAGCGUGAAGGAUGACUGCCCUAUGGGUUGUAAACUUCUUUUAUAAAGGAAUAAAACGAGGCACGUGUGCCUGUUUGCAUGUACUUUAUGAAUAAGGAUCGGCUAACUCCGUGCCAGCAGCCGCGGUAAUACGGAGGACCCGAGCGUUAUCCGGAUUUAUUGGGUUUAAAGGGAGCGUAGAUGGGUUGUUAAGUCAGUUGUGAAAGUUUGCGGCCCAACCGUAAAAUUGCAGUUGAUACUGGCAGUCUUGAGUACAGUUGAGGUAGGCGGAAUUCGUGGUGUAGCGGUGAAAUGCUUAGAUAUCACGAGGAACCCCGAUUGCGAAGGCAGCUUACUAAACUGUGACUGACAUUGAUGCUCGAAAGUGUGGGUAUCAAACAGGAUUAGAUACCCCAGUAGUC